Molecule: ribosomal RNA, 497 nt
Filed under: uncultured bacterium
Lineage: Bacteria
Description: partial 16S ribosomal RNA
Rfam family: Bacterial small subunit ribosomal RNA
Source: RNAcentral
GAUGAACGCUGGCGGCGUGCCUAAUACAUGCAAGUCGAGCGAACGGACGAGAAGCUUGCUUCUCUGAUGUUAGCAGCGGACGGGUGAGUAACACGUGGAUAACCUACCUAUAAGACUGGGAUAACUUCGGGAAACCGUAGCUAAUACCGGAUAAUAUUUUGAACCGCAUGGUUCAAAAGUGAAAGACGGUCUUGCUGUCACUUAUAGAUGGAUCCGCGCUGCAUUAGCUAGUUGGUAAGGUAACGGCCUACCAAGGCAACGAUGCAUAGCCGACCUGAGAGGGUGAUCGGCCACACUGGAACUGAGACACGGUCCAGACUCCUACGGGAGGCAGCAGUAGGGAAUCUUCCGCAAUGGGCGAAAGCCUGACGGAGCAACGCCGCGUGAGUGAUGAAGGUCUUCGGAUCGUAAAACUCUGUUAUUAGGGAAGAACAUAUGUGUAAGUAACUGUGCACAUCUUGACGGUACCUAAUCAGAAAGCCACGGCUAACUACGUG